AGCCCUGCAUGUCUCAGUAUAUGUCUUACACGACGAAACUGCGAACGGCUCAUUAAAACAGUUAUAGUUUAUCUGAUGGUCAACUGUUACAUGGAUAACCGUGGUAAUCCUGGAGCUAAUACAUGCGUUAAGACCCGACUUUUCGGACGGGUUGUAUUUAUUAGAUACAGAACCAAUGCCUUCUGGCCUUUGGUGAUUCAUAAUAAACGAACGGAGCGCAUCACUUCGUGGCGCUGUAUCAUUCAAGUUUCUGACCUAUCAGCUUUCGACGGUAGGGUAUUGGCCUACCGUGGCAUUGACGGGUAACGGAGAAUUAGGGUUCGAUUCCGGAGAGGGAGCCCGAGAAACGGCUACCACAUCUACGGAAGGCAGCAGGCGCGCAAAUUACCCAAUCCCGAUACGGGGAGGUAGUGACAAGAAGUAACAAGGCGGGUGGCUAGUCCAUUUCGCAUUGGAAUGAGUAGACUUUAAAUCUCUUUUCGACUAUCAAUUGGAGGGCAG
This 501-nucleotide ribosomal RNA is filed under the name uncultured eukaryote. RNAcentral describes it as "bacterial SSU rRNA". It matches the Rfam family "Eukaryotic small subunit ribosomal RNA", at positions 47 to 558 of the family's 1831-position model. The record is from RNAcentral.